This 253-nucleotide ribosomal RNA is filed under the name uncultured bacterium. Its description in RNAcentral is "partial 16S ribosomal RNA". It matches the Rfam family "Bacterial small subunit ribosomal RNA", at positions 524 to 776 of the family's 1533-position model. The record is from RNAcentral.
UAAGGAGGGCGCAAGCGUUAGCAGGAAUCACUGGGUUUAAAGGGUGCGUAGGCGGCUAAAUAAGUCAGAGGUGAAAGCUUGCAGCUUAACUGCGAAAUUGCCUUUGAUACUGUAUAGCUUGAAAGGAGCUGAGGUCAGCAGAAUGUGGCAUGUAGCGGUGAAAUGCAUAGAUAUGCCAUAGAAUACCAAUUGCGAAGGCAGCUGGCUGGGCUUACUUUGACGCUGAGGCACGAAAGCGUGGGGAUCGAACAGG